This 544-nucleotide ribosomal RNA is filed under the name uncultured Glomeromycotina. Its description in RNAcentral is "SSU rRNA". It matches the Rfam family "Eukaryotic small subunit ribosomal RNA", at positions 548 to 1098 of the family's 1831-position model. The record is from RNAcentral. Lineage: Eukaryota; Fungi; Glomeromycota.
UUGGAGGGCAAGUCUGGUGCCAGCAGCCGCGGUAAUUCCAGCUCCAAUAGCGUAUAUUAAAGUUGUUGCAGUUAAAAAGCUCGUAGUUGAAUUUCGGGGUUCUACCGUUGGUCGGGCUUUGUCUGUACUGGUGUGUAGAAUUUCUACCUUCUGGGGAACCAUCAUGCUAUUAAUUUAGCGUGGUGGGAAACCAGGACCUUUACCUUGAAAAGAUUAGUGUAUUCAAAGCAGGCUUAUGUCUGAAUACAUUAGCGUGGAAUAAUAGAAUAGGACGGUGGUCCUGUUUUGUUGGUUUCUGAAUCGCCGUAAUGAUUAAUAGGGAUAGUUGGGGGCAUUAGUAUUCAAUUGUCAGAGGUGAAAUUCUUGGAUUUAUUGAAGACUAACUUCUGCGAAAGCAUUUGCCAAGGAUGUUUUCAUUAAUCAAGAACGAAAGUUAGGGGAUCGAAGACGAUCAGAUACCGUCGUAGUCUUAACCAUAAACUAUGCCGACUAGGGAUCGGACGAUGUUAAUUUUUCUUGACUCGUUCGGCGCCUUACGGGAAAC